UCCGCUUUCUUCUCAGAUUGCCCCAGAGACUCAGACGGGGAAACUUCCGGUUCUCCUUUUGUGGAGGGCAGAGCCUCUAACUCUCGCUGCAGAUCCGAAUGCGAGAGUAUUGGCUGAGCCGGGACCCCUCGACCACCUCGAACAGCAGGCAGACCCCACAAAGUAGCCCACAGGCACUUCCUCUCUUUCGGCCGACAACUUUGAUCAGCACAGAGAGAAUAGUCGUCGACAGCGCCGCAGCUGCCUCGAGCUCCAUUCUGAUGCUUUUAGGCGCAAGCAGUCUUUUCAGUAGGAGGCAAGUGGCCAGCUCGUCUGGUGCUUGUCUUUUGUUACUGGACAAAGCACACUCUCCUACAACCCGGUUUGGCUCCGUCUUUUAAUGAAUGCUGCUUACCGCAGUAAAUGGCACUCCGGAGAUCUUACUUUUGCUAACCAUCCUCUGCUACCAGAUGUGGAGAAUGAAGAAUUUGCAUGCCAGUUUGCAGUCCACCUCAAUACCCGAUCGUCCAGACCAGACUCCCUCAGUUUAGCUGUGAGAAUGCUGUGAGAGACUGUGUCAAAUGCUUUACUGAAGUCAAGGUAGACCACAUCCACCACUCUGCCAUCAUCCAUCCACCUCCUUAUGUCUUCAUCAAAGGCUAUGAGUCGCGACAUAUGGUGACCCCGACGUGAUCCUGCAUGAAGAGGAUCUCGCAUGAAGAAGAGACAGCGGUGAAUCUGUGACAGCUGAAGACGAGCUGGGGAGACGGAGCCCAGUACAGCUGAUAGAGCAGCAGGGAGAAGCUGCCAAAGAUCCGGAUCCUUGAAAAGACACCACACCAAGAGUUGGUGAGCUACCAGAAAUGGGGGGGGGGGACUUAUCUAGAGAAGAGGGUAUUAUAUUAUCUACAUGGGAAUUGCUUCUGAAGAAGCAGGGUAUUAGCCUUCUGGAACUGACUUUACGAAGGAUGUUACUACGGGGCAAAGCACUACCUAAAGAUCCAAAGAAACAACAAACAACUAAACUGUUAACGACUUUGAGAGGAUUAAAAGAGCAACAGAAACAUGCAGAGACAGUGUGUGUGGGGGGGAGGUGGCUUACCUGGGCUAGAUUUGGGAAAAAAAAAAAAGUGCACUGUUCCAACCCCCCCUGUUACUAAUGAUUCUCCAGCACUGUUCAAGUCUGCCUUAUCUGAUGACUCGGAUGAGGAUGAGGGUCUGCAGCAUUUUCUUGAAAAGUUACAAGGAAAAGGAGUAUGUGUACGUGUUGCCCCAAGAUCAGAUAAAAACCAUGAAAGACUCAAGCAAAAUUAGACCUAUGCAAUGUAACAGCUAUAGAUCAUUUAGGGUGGAACGAUGGGGAUUCAUUGAAAGGGUCUUCCAACUCUUGGAAGAGACACUAAUUGGCACACCACAAUUACAGGUGUUAUUAGUUUCUGAAAUCCUGAGGCAGUCAACAGACCUUGCAUAUCAAGCUAUGAUAAAGGUGCCUGAAACUCACAAAGCAGCCAAAUCAUUUACAACUCUUAAUCAGGGUCCCAAUGAGAAUUACAUGCAAUUUAUUGACCAUCUUCAAGAGACCGUCAGUAAGCAGGUCGACAACUUAGAAGCUAAGGAAGCACUAGUGUUGAGAUUAGCAGUAGAGAAUGCUAAUGUUUGCUAUCAACGUGUUGUCUGUGAGUUUUACAGUACAAAUUAUGUGCUUCUGUGUAUUGAGUCUCUGAAAAUCAAGCAGCUUGUCAGGAAUGCGAGUUAAUUGUUUCACUGGUUGUUGUUAGAAUUGUUUCUUUGUGGUAUUGAUUGUAUAAGUGUGCCGUAAAACCUUCUCCCCACUUUUCCCACUCCCACUGCGAGCAGCCCUGUGCUUCCCCUCCCUCCCUCCCUAUUCUCACGAUUUUUUUACUUACGAGAUGGGGUCAGAAAUAACAGUUUUCAGUCGUGUUCCUAAGAAAUCGGUUUUGGGAGGUGUUUUCGAACAUAGGAAAGCACUUGGUAUGUGGAAAGAGGAUCUUGUUAAAUAUUGAAAUCAGUGGUGGCUGCUGUAUAAGUUAAGUGAUUGGGAAAACUGGCCGGAGAAUAGAACCUUGAAAUGUCUUUAAGUAUAACACAGCAAUCAUAGAUGUUUUCCUCUUUAACCUGUUUUCUUUGUGGGUAUCUGUUUAAGCAUGUUUCAAUUUUAGUAGGUCUUCUGUCUGUUGUGUGGUACGGUGAGUUUGCAGACUGUUAAAUCAUGAGAAUCCAUGGACUCAAAAUGUGCAUUUCGCGAUAAUGCAGAAGACCAUGAGUAAUUUAGUUCUUUACUCCGUGAAUGUGAUGGUGAAAUUUUGUGUGGAAUAGCUGUUACUUUUCUUUCUAGCAUGCUAGCUUUAUUCCAGCAUUCAGACUUGCACAACUCUGUGAUAGGCAGUGUCUCAUCGCAGUGUACUAAAUUUGGCUCUUUUGUAUGCACACCAAGUAAAGAAUCCUGUUUUGGGGAUAACAGUUGUAGCAUGCCAGAUGAGAUGCUAAUAAAAGCCUUGCCUAGUCCAGCUUGCUAAAGAACAGCGGGGGGGCGGAUGCCGAUUGGGCUCCAGCGCAUCCUGAGCUGUUUUGUCAGGGAGACCCAGUGGCACCUCUACCUGGCUGAGCAGUAAGCAGUUCAAAGGUGCAAUGCAAAAAUCGAGAUAUUGUCUUGAAUAAGUGUAACUGUGAUCCAUCUGCAUAUUUUAACUUGGUAUUUGGUUUUCAUAAAAUUAGCCAAUGAGAUUUUACUGCUGUAACUUUUAACCAAUAGUGAAGAGACACAUGAAUUGGUAAAACUGUAUAAAAAUGCACUUGUGGCAAUAAAUGGCAUCUACUGCUUUCAUCCUUGUGAGAAAUGCAGUUUUGAUUCAUGUUAAGAUGUUUAAUGUUUACAGAUAUAACCAAAUGAGGCAUGGGCUCUGAACCUGGAAAAAGGAAAAGGUGGUUAAGUUCUAUGUAAAAAGUUAUGAAACUUGUUUAUGAAGUUAUAUUGAUAGAGGGCACUAACAUUUUAAGGGUUAACCAACCACAUAAUAAGUGCUUACUAAUGAACUAACACUUUAAGCCACAUAAUGAAUGCCUAUUUUAGAGCUGUAUGUAACCAAUUGUGUUAAGAAAAAAAAAAAAAAAAAAACAGAACCUCAUCGAAUGCCAAGAUAAGAAAUUUUAUAGCACCAGCUGUAACCUUGAGGAGACAAGAUAGCCAAGAUUUACAGCAAAAGGGGGCGCCAGUCUGGUUUCGGUCGACUUGGCAGCUUUGGUUCCAGCUAAUUCAUCAUAAUGAGCCAAAAAGGUAAAGAGAUCACUGUGACGAAGCUGAAGGAGCCUUCAUCCAAAGACCCUCAAAGACCCCUCCUCAAAAUCACCAAGUGACACUGUGCAGGCGCAACAGGGAAGAGUCAAGGAGGAGACUAUGAAAAUGGUUAUCUGAGACUCAUUUUAAUAAGAAGCGGGAAAGGUUAUGAAUAUGUAUAGGCGUUCCUGGGGUUAUUAUGAAUAUGUGAUACCUUACUGUAUUUAAGCACACCUCUUAUUGUUAAAAGGUGUGCGUGUUGGGCGGAGCGAAUCCAAUGAACACGUGUUUAAGGAAUACAAUUAAGGAAUUGGAUUAAACGCUGUUUAUUCAUGGAAAAA
Molecule: long non-coding RNA, 3615 nt
Organism: Columba livia (rock pigeon)
Lineage: Eukaryota; Metazoa; Chordata; Aves; Columbiformes; Columbidae
Exons: 4
Source: RefSeq, a predicted model, not a curated record